This 770-nucleotide unclassified non-coding RNA is filed under the name Cyperus persquarrosus. RNAcentral's name for it is "partial contains rpl32 gene (partial), rpl32-trnL IGS and trnL gene (partial)". Lineage: Eukaryota; Viridiplantae; Streptophyta; Magnoliopsida; Poales; Cyperaceae. The record is from RNAcentral.
GGAUAUUGAAUUGCAGUAAAAGCCUCUUCUUUAGCAAAAUCACUUUCUAUUGGAAAUUCAAAAAGUUUUUUGAAACAAAAACCAAAUAAACGAGUUUUUGGUUUUUAUGUAUUUCUACAAUAAAGUAUUCCUUUAAUAAAUUUAGACUUUAAUUAGAACUAUAAAUUAUAUAUAAUUUAUAUUAUUUUUAAUUCUAAAAAUAAUAUCUAUAUCUUAGGAUUUCAAUUACUUAAUUAAGUAACAAUUUACUUAUUAAUUAACUUUUCACAAUAGAAGAAAAUCUUUUCUUCUAUUGUGAAAAGUUUAAUAGAAAUUAAAUUAAAUUUGAGAUUUAAAUAUUUCCUAUCUUAUAUAUAUAUAUUUUUUUUUAAUUUUUAAAAAAUUAAAAAAAGAUUUAUAAUUUACUGUUAAUUUCAACAUGAAAAAAUAAAAAAAGAUAAAUGAUAAAAACUUUGCAUUUAUUUUUUUNNNNNAUUCUACUAGAAUAUUAAAAAAUAAAAAAGACUAAAUUCUUUUUGUUUUUUUUAAUUUUUUUAAAUAUUAAAAAAAAUGAUUUUUCUUCCUAUCAUUAUUGAUACGGAAAAUAAGAUAAAUGAUAAAAAAAUAGUAAGUUUUAUAAAAAAAGUAAGAUUUUGCCAUUGAGGAUGUCAAAAUAAAAUGAAAAAAAAUCUUUUCUCUUUAUCCAUUCUAAAAUUUCUUAUUUCAAAUANAAAUUCUUAAAUCUUGACGANUUAAACAUGANCUUGGCUUAUUAUUUAAAAAAAGCCGCC